RNAcentral lists this ribosomal RNA (497 nucleotides) under uncultured bacterium. RNAcentral describes it as "partial 16S ribosomal RNA". It matches the Rfam family "Bacterial small subunit ribosomal RNA", at positions 28 to 507 of the family's 1533-position model. The record is from RNAcentral.
GAUGAACGCUGGCGGCGUGCCUAAUACAUGCAAGUCGAGCGAACAGACGAGGAUCUUGCUCCUCUGACGUUAGCGGCGGACGGGUGAGUAACACGUGGAUAACCUACCUAUAAGACUGGGAUAACUUCGGGAAACCGGAGCUAAUACCGGAUAAUAUAUUGAACCGCAUGGUUCAAUAGUGAAAGACGGUUUUGCUGUCACUUAUAGAUGGAUCCGCGCCGCAUUAGCUAGUUGGUAAGGUAACGGCUUACCAAGGCAACGAUGCGUAGCCGACCUGAGAGGCAGAUCGGCCACACUGGAACUGAGACACGGUCCAGACUCCUACGGGAGGCAGCAGUAGGGAAUCUUCCGCAAUGGGCGAAAUCUUGACGGAGCAACGCCGCGUGAGUGAUGAAGGUCUUCGGGUCGUAAAACUCUGUUAUUAGGGAAGAACAAAUGUGUAAGUAACUAUGCACGUCUUGACGGUACCUAAUCAAAAAGCCACGGCUAACUACGUG